AGACUGCAGGCUGCAACUCGCCUGCACGAAGUCGGAAUUGCUAGUAAUCGUAGGUCAGCGUACUACGGUGAAUACCGGUUCCCGGGCCUUGUACACACCGCCCGUCAAACCAUGAGAGUUGGCAACACCCGAAGUCGGUAGUCUAACCGCAAGGAGGACGCCGCCGAAGGUGGGGUUGAUGAUUAGGGUUAAGUCGUAACAAGGUAAC
This 208-nucleotide ribosomal RNA is filed under the name uncultured bacterium. RNAcentral describes it as "partial 16S ribosomal RNA". It matches the Rfam family "Bacterial small subunit ribosomal RNA", at positions 1295 to 1500 of the family's 1533-position model. The record is from RNAcentral.